UCCUUACCUCAAUUUUAACUCAGAGGAGCCAAACAGCUACGGUCCCUCUGAGGGCUUUUAUACCCGGUGGGAUUUGCCGCCUCCCUUUUCCCAGGCAGCGUGGGAAAAAGAGGCGGGCUCAAUUAGGGGUAUAUUAACCCCAGGCUGUGCUAAGGGGCAUUAUUCCCUCCAAGGGAAUCAGCUGGGCUAAAGAGCUUGUCUCUCAUUUCAGCGAAGAGGCUCUUUCAAUUUACUCCAGCCUGCUUUUAGCAGGUAUCUUUUGGGCAUUUGAAGCAGCAGAGGUUUUGAAAACACCUUGAAGAAAACAUUAUGGAACACAGGGAGUAUUUAAGUUCAUGAUUUUGGGUUGAGAGUUCAGGGGUGAUAAGAUGCUUUUAUAAUGAUUCUUCUGUUUGGGUUUUUUUUAGGAGGAUUGCAGUUUCCUGAAGUUCUAGGUCACGUCAAGUGCGAUACUUCAGAUUCUCUCAGCAGAUUCAUCGUGACACAAAAGGGAACCGCUGUGGCAGCUUUCCUUAGCAGCAGAUUAGUCUCUCCGAUGGAUUCGCUUCGGAGAGAUAAGUCGAGGGCUGUGGUCACAGAGGGGAUCGAAGCAGGGUAGUGGGUUAGGAUUCACACCGGUUAGGGUUUUGAGUCAGCUAUGGGGAGGGGGAGGUUUGAGAACUGGCCUCUAGGGCCACGGUGAGGGAAAGGCUCACUUUGGCUAACAAUGCUGAGGCGGGCAGGGCAGAGCAGUCCCAAGGUGUGUUGUCACUUGUCUGUUGUGCUUUCUGUGUCUUCCGUUCAUCUCGUGUAACAUGUCUCUUGCCUUAGUUCUCCCAGGAGCUUAUGAGAAACCCCAGGUCCUUCCGGUCAUCUCCCAUCUUUGCGUUCCUCGGCCCGGGGCCGACGCCGGCGAAGUUUCGAUUCGGGAGGUCAGACAGGCAUCAGAAUCGCAUCUCUGUUCAGCAGCAUCCGAUCGGAUGUCUUUUUAGGUCUUGUUCUCAGCUGUGUUGACAGCUGUAUGCAGUAAUCUUUCUUUACAGUGGAUAAGGACUUGUGCCGAUUCAAAGGCAGGCAGAGGCUUCCAGCCACAGGAUUCUCAGGCAUCCGUCUCCGCGGUUCUCGGAAUAAGUCGUUCCGUUAGCAUCUUUUUCCUCCGGGGUCAUCCGAGCCCGGCGGGCUCGCCUUCGGUCCCUCCUCGGUCAUCUUGUUCAGCAUUUUCUCAGUCCUCGUGAGGACUUUCUCGUCUCAGAGUUUUCUCUCCCUGUCGUGUCCCCUCGUCUCACGUGUCACGGGUGUCUGGGGGUAUUCGGUCCGGAACUGCUCUGCCCUGCCGCCCGGCCCCGUUGCAGGUGUUCAAGGACAAGUCCCGGGCACUUGUAAUUGGAGACUCGUAAUACGGGCUGUAGUUGGAGUCUAGAUGCGGAUGGAUCGACCUCCUGGCAGAGCGCCUCGUCCCAGAUGAGGGGAUCCCCCUGAGAAGGAAGUAAAGCCGGAUAGCAGCAGUGAAGGUGAAGCAUUGUGAAGGUGGUCUACUUGCAAGAUAUCCCAGCCCAGGAUGCCAGAGGACAGGUUCCGUGCAGAGAGGCAGAGCCGAAGUUUGCGAUCGGCCGCACCGAAGCCGGCACGGGG
Molecule: long non-coding RNA, 1611 nt
Organism: Poecile atricapillus (Black-capped chickadee)
Lineage: Eukaryota; Metazoa; Chordata; Aves; Passeriformes; Paridae
Exons: 5
Source: RefSeq, a predicted model, not a curated record